This 185-nucleotide non-coding RNA is filed under the name Planctomycetota bacterium. Its description in RNAcentral is "Planctomycetes bacterium 6S RNA". It matches the Rfam family "6S / SsrS RNA". Rfam says of the family: E. coli 6S RNA was the first non coding RNA to be sequenced, but its function was unknown until recently. It consists of 184 nucleotides that fold into an extended hairpin structure with a large single-stranded internal bulge. The record is from RNAcentral. Lineage: Bacteria; Pseudomonadati; Planctomycetota.
UAGCCCCUGCGGUGUGCGAGGCGGUGAUUGUAUUUGAAAGAACCGAUGCCCUCACAUAGGGAGGUCAGGUCUUGGCGGAUCGGAAACGCCUGCCCGACAGGACUUUCGGACACAAGCAACGACUGCCCACUUUGAUUUAGAGGGUUCUUUUCAAACGCGCCGUUCACGGCAGUUGCGGAGGUUGG